Amblyraja radiata (thorny skate) is the source of this 163-nucleotide long non-coding RNA. RefSeq lists it as uncharacterized. The transcript is spliced from 3 exons. The record is from RefSeq and is a predicted model, not a curated record. NCBI's taxonomy places the organism in Eukaryota, Metazoa, Chordata, Chondrichthyes, Rajiformes, Rajidae.
AAGGACACAAUUCUUGAGUAAUGCCCCGGUCCCAGUUAGGAAACCUGAACGGAAACCUCUGGAGACUUUGCGCCCCACCCAAGGUUUCCGUGCGGUUCCCGGAGGUUGCAGGGGGUUGCAGGUAGUGGAAGCAGGUAGGGAGACUGACAAAAACCUCCGGGAA